UACGGGGGGGGCAAGCGUUGUUCGGAAUUACUGGGCGUAAAGGGCUCGUAGGUGGCCAACUAAGUCAUACGUGAAAUCCCUCGGCCUAACCGGGGAACUGCGUCUGAUACUGGAUGGCUUGAGGUUGGGAGAGGGAUGCGGAAUUCCAGGUGUAGCGGUGAAAUGCGUAGAUAUCUGGAGGAACACCGGUGGCGAAGGCGGCAUCCUGGACCAAUUCUGACACUGAGGAGCGAAAGCCAGGGGAGCAAACGGG
RNAcentral lists this ribosomal RNA (253 nucleotides) under uncultured bacterium. RNAcentral's name for it is "partial 16S ribosomal RNA". It matches the Rfam family "Bacterial small subunit ribosomal RNA", at positions 524 to 776 of the family's 1533-position model. The record is from RNAcentral.